CGUACGUUAGCGGCGGACGGGUGAGUAACACGUGGGUAACCGUACAUAUAAGACUGGGAUAACUUCGGGAAACCGGAGCUAAUACCGGAUAAUAUUUCGAACCGCAUGGUUCGAUAGUGAAAGGUGGUUUUGCUAUCACUUAUAGAUGGACCCGCGCCGUAUUAGCUAGUUGGUAAGGUAACGGCUUACCAAGGCGACGAUACGUAGCCGACCUGAGAGGGUGAUCGGCCACACUGGAACUGAGACACGGUCCAGACUCCUACGGGAGGCAGCAGGC
RNAcentral lists this ribosomal RNA (277 nucleotides) under uncultured Staphylococcus sp. RNAcentral describes it as "partial 16S ribosomal RNA". It matches the Rfam family "Bacterial small subunit ribosomal RNA", at positions 86 to 354 of the family's 1533-position model. The record is from RNAcentral. Lineage: Bacteria; Bacillati; Bacillota; Bacilli; Caryophanales; Staphylococcaceae.